AGCACUGCAGGAGAGAGCACACUGAGCCUGCGUGCCACAGCACAGCACAAGUCACUGCCAGGGCACGGGGUGCAGCCGCCGUGCUGCUGAGGGCUCACAGCUGGCUCACCGUGGCAGCCAGGGACACUCCGUGUGGCUGCUGUGAUGGUUUUGCACCUUCAGUGAGCAGACGAACUCACCUGGCUCAGAGAAGGAACUUCUUGUCUUUCUGCCCUGAGUUCACCUACUCUGACUGUCCUCUGUGGAUGCCCGUGGGGUUCAAGCAGACAGGAUGACCACAGCCAGGCACUGACAUCAGAUAAAUCCCAGGAUUGCAGCAGAGGCUGGCAGCCCCUGUGUGCCCAGAGCUCUGAGAAGCUCUGUUCUGGAGAGAACACACCAGUCAGGGCACUGGAGCUUUCUCCCUGAAAACCACCAUCACCUCAGAGAGGUAAUUCUCAAAGGAGAGAUGCCAAACACUGGAAAGGUUCAGAAGAUGGACAUCACUGAGGCUGGACUAAGUCCAGUACAAAUCCUGUGUGUGCAGCGUGGAUGCUUGUGAGACCCAAAGCCAAGGGCAGAACACGUGGAUGCACACAGGGCUCCACCUCUGCAUCCAAGGAGGAUGAGUACAGCAAAGCUGUGGUCAUUUUGGUCUGGAAGUAUCACAAGAAACCCUUGCAGUUUGGGUUUUUUUUCCUUCACAAUCUCCUUAUUUCAAUUUAGG
This is a long non-coding RNA of Passer montanus (Eurasian tree sparrow), 706 nucleotides long. RefSeq lists it as uncharacterized. The transcript is spliced from 3 exons. The record is from RefSeq and is a predicted model, not a curated record. Lineage: Eukaryota; Metazoa; Chordata; Aves; Passeriformes; Passeridae.